RNAcentral lists this ribosomal RNA (446 nucleotides) under Moraxella catarrhalis. RNAcentral's name for it is "bacterial SSU rRNA". It matches the Rfam family "Bacterial small subunit ribosomal RNA", at positions 54 to 500 of the family's 1533-position model. Lineage: Bacteria; Pseudomonadati; Pseudomonadota; Gammaproteobacteria; Moraxellales; Moraxellaceae. The record is from RNAcentral.
CAUGCAAGUCGAACGAAGUUAGGAAGCUUGCUUCUGAUACUUAGUGGCGGACGGGUGAGUAAUGCUUAGGAAUCUGCCUAGUAGUGGGGGAUAACUUGGGGAAACUCAAGCUAAUACCGCAUACGACCUACGGGUGAAAGGGGGCGCAAGCUCUCGCUAUUAGAUGAGCCUAAGUCGGAUUAGCUAGUUGGUGGGGUAAAGGCCUACCAAGGCGACGAUCUGUAGCUGGUCUGAGAGGAUGAUCAGCCACACUGGGACUGAGACACGGCCCAGACUCCUACGGGAGGCAGCAGUGGGGAAUAUUGGACAAUGGGCGAAAGCCUGAUCCAGCCAUGCCGCGUGUGUGAAGAAGGCCUUUUGGUUGUAAAGCACUUUAAGUGGGGAGGAAAAGCUUAUGGUUAAUACCCAUAAGCCCUGACGUUACCCACAGAAUAAGCACCGGCUAA